UAGCAAUAUUCCGGUUAGUGGCGCAAGGGACAGUAACGUGUAGAUACCUACCCUCGGGUUCGGGAUAGCCGCGGGAAACUGCGGGUAAUACCGAAUGACAUCUCCGGAUCAAAGGUGUGAUUCCGCCCGUGGAGGGGUCUGCAUCCUAUUAGCUAGUUGGUAAGGUAACGGCUUACCAAGGCAUCGAUGGGUAGCAGGUGUGAGAGCACGACCUGCGUCAUUGGGACUGAGACACUGCCCAGACACCUACGGGUGGCUGCAGUCGAGAAUCUUCGGCAAUGGGCGCAAGCCUGACCGAGCGACGCCGCGUGCGGGAUGAAGGCCUUCGGGUUGUAAACCGCUGUCAGCGGGGAGGAAAUGCCGGCGGGUUCUCCCGUCGGUUUGACCUAUCCUCAGAGGAAGUACGGGCUAAGUUCGUGCCAGCAGCCGCGGUAAGACGAACCGUACGAACGUUAUUCGGAAUCACUGGGCUUAAAGGGUGCGUAGGCGGCGCGGAAAGUUGGGUGUGAAAGCCCUCGGCUUAACCGAGGAAUGGCGCCCAAAACUGCCGUGCUCGAGGGAGAUAGAGGUGAGCGGAACUUAGGGUGGAGCGGUGAAAUGCGUUGAUAACCUAAGGAACACCGGUGGCGAAAGCGGCUCACUGGGUUUCUUCUGACGCUGAGGCACGAAAGCUAGGGUAGCGAACGGGAUUAGAUACC
Molecule: ribosomal RNA, 698 nt
Filed under: uncultured Planctomycetaceae bacterium
Lineage: Bacteria; Pseudomonadati; Planctomycetota; Planctomycetia; Planctomycetales; Planctomycetaceae
Description: bacterial SSU rRNA
Rfam family: Bacterial small subunit ribosomal RNA
Source: RNAcentral